RNAcentral lists this ribosomal RNA (261 nucleotides) under uncultured bacterium. RNAcentral describes it as "partial 16S ribosomal RNA". It matches the Rfam family "Archaeal small subunit ribosomal RNA", at positions 744 to 1004 of the family's 1478-position model. The record is from RNAcentral.
GUCCCAGCUGUAAACUAUGCAAACUCAGUGAUGCAUUGGCUUGUGGCCAAUGCAGUGCUGCAGGGAAGCCGUUAAGUUUGCCGCCUGGGAAGUACGUACGCAAGUAUGAAACUUAAAGGAAUUGGCGGGGGAGCACCACAAGUGGUGAAGCCUGCGGUUCAAUUGGAGUCAACGCCAGAAAUCUUACCCGGAGAGACAGCAGAAUGAAGGUCAAGCUGAAGACUUUACCAGACAAGCUGAGAGGUGGUGCAUGGCCGUCGU